This 585-nucleotide ribosomal RNA is filed under the name uncultured bacterium. RNAcentral's name for it is "bacterial SSU rRNA". It matches the Rfam family "Bacterial small subunit ribosomal RNA", at positions 338 to 916 of the family's 1533-position model. The record is from RNAcentral.
CCUACGGGAGGCAGCAGUGGGGAAUUUUGGACAAUGGGCGCAAGCCUGAUCCAGCAAUGCCGCGUGAGUGAAGAAGGCCUUCGGGUUGUAAAGCUCUUUUGUCAGGGAAGAAACGGGUCUUUCUAAUACAGAGGCCUAAUGACGGUACCUGAAGAAUAAGCACCGGCUAACUACGUGCCAGCAGCCGCGGUAAUACGUAGGGUGCAAGCGUUAAUCGGAAUUACUGGGCGUAAAGCGUGCGCAGGCGGUUUUGUAAGUUUGUCGUGAAAUCCCCGGGCUCAACCUGGGAAUGGCGAUGAAGACUGCAAGGCUAGAGUUUGGCAGAGGGGGGUAGAAUUCCACGUGUAGCAGUGAAAUGCGUAGAUAUGUGGAGGAACACCGAUGGCGAAGGCAGCCCCCUGGGUCAAAACUGACGCUCAUGCACGAAAGCGUGGGGAGCAAACAGGAUUAGAUACCCUGGUAGUCCACGCCCUAAACGAUGUCUACUAGUUGUCGGGUCUUAAUUGACUUGGUAACGCAGCUAACGCGUGAAGUAGACCGCCUGGGGAGUACGGUCGCAAGAUUAAAACUCAAAUGAAUUGACGG